UAAUAAGUGUUUUAUGGCACUUUUAAAUCCAUAUCCACCUUGUGUGCAAUGUCAGUCGAUCUUCUUCAUGGAGAUCGAGCCAAACAUCAACCUUUAUCUUUUAACUCUUUGUCUGAAAAAUAUUAUGAAUAAACAAUUCAAAAUA
RNAcentral lists this unclassified non-coding RNA (145 nucleotides) under soil metagenome. Its description in RNAcentral is "partial internal transcribed spacer 1". The record is from RNAcentral.